AAUGAGAAUAUUUCCAUGCGUUGUCGAAUGAGAAUAUUUACCGUUCGUUUAUCGAACAUGUUGAUCAAUUACCGUUCGUCAACCGAAUAAUUACCGUUGUCUAUCGAACAGUUAGUUAUCGUUUUGUCUAUCGAAGAGUUAGCGAUCAUUUAGUCAACCGAAGAAUUUUAUAUCCGUCAAUCUGUCAGACAAUUGUCAAUAUCGAAAUCAAUAUUCCCGCACAUGGCAGGUUGCCCGAAGGUGGAGCUUAUUGCCAGUUGCAUCAAACGUCGGUUAACGCUACCUUCUCGUCGACAACCAAAUAGAACGUAACAGCGAGCAGCUUGGACAGCGUGAACAAACGCUUGGACAGAGAACAACGUUUAGAGGCUGAGACGCGUUCGAGAGGAAAGUUGGACGAUGCGUAAAGGUUGCGAGGCAUUGAGAAAGUACUACUGGAGAAAGUAGGAGAACUGGAGGAACGGCUGCUGAAGACCGUCGUUCAGCGGUGUAAAAACGAGCUGCUCGAGAAAGAAAGGCUCAAUUGGGGAAAAAAUGCAGAACUGGAACAAAAGUGUCGAGCGUACAAAGGUCGGAACGUUGUUUCAGAUAAAACGAAGAGGCAAGUCGAUGAGUUAAAGGGGUGUCUGUACAGACCAAGAACGAAUAAUAGAUUACCCUCUCAGCGACAAAAGUGACAUAGUUUAGAAAACAUAUUGGAAGAAAUUUUCAAUUUGCUCUAAAAAAAAAAAAUUGGACGAUUCAUCCCUUAGGAUUCUUUCUGAUUAAGAACCGAAGAUGAGAGAAACAAUCUUUUUGUCAAUUUCAUAGUAAGGAUAUAUCGCACAUACUAAAGCGCCGAGUUUUCAAGGCGGAUGCGUUCCUUAUCCGAGCUACUCGACACCCGAUCCACCUACGUUCAUUUGCGAAUAAUUUCACGUUAAAAUAACUCGUGUUCUACGCGUGAAACACGGUGCAACUGAACAGAAAAUUAUCUUUGGCGUAUGUACACGUAUACGGAAAAUCUAAUUUAUUUACAUAAAAAUAGCAACGGACGACGUUCUGCUAACGACACCUCUAUGCUUGGGAAAUUUUUAGGGGAAAUCUUAGGAAGAUUGUUCUUUAUUUCGUACAGUCUCGACGCGGUAUCGUCUCCCUCGCGAUUACUCUAAUUUCCUAUAAAUCUCAGGCGCGUAUAACUUCGAUGUAUCGAUACACAUUUGCUUUAUAAUAAAUCUCAGACGAUCAAUAAUA
Molecule: long non-coding RNA, 1233 nt
Organism: Bombus terrestris (buff-tailed bumblebee)
Lineage: Eukaryota; Metazoa; Arthropoda; Insecta; Hymenoptera; Apidae
Exons: 3
Source: RefSeq, a predicted model, not a curated record